CAAAUACGCCGAAGGUUCCUGCAUGGUAAAAUUCGGCGACACCCAUGUGCUCGUCACCGCCACGCUGGAAGAUCGCCUGCCGCCCUGGCUCAAGGGACAGGGCCGCGGAUGGGUCACCGCCGAAUACGGCAUGCUGCCGCNGCCACCCAUGAGCGCAUGCGCCGUGAAUCCGCUGCCGGAAAGCAAAGCGGCCGCACCGU
This 200-nucleotide unclassified non-coding RNA is filed under the name Hevea brasiliensis (rubber tree). The record is from RNAcentral. Lineage: Eukaryota; Viridiplantae; Streptophyta; Magnoliopsida; Malpighiales; Euphorbiaceae.